This 253-nucleotide ribosomal RNA is filed under the name uncultured bacterium. Its description in RNAcentral is "partial 16S ribosomal RNA". It matches the Rfam family "Bacterial small subunit ribosomal RNA", at positions 524 to 776 of the family's 1533-position model. The record is from RNAcentral.
UACGAAGGGAGCUAGCGUUGUUCGGAAUCACUGGGCGUAAAGCGCACGUAGGCGGAUGUGUCAGUCAGGGGUGAAAUCCCGGAGCUCAACUUCGGAACUGCCUCUGAUACAGCACGUCUUGAGUCCGGAAGAGGUGGGUGGAAUUCCUAGUGUAGAGGUGAAAUUCGUAGAUAUUAGGAAGAACACCGGUGGCGAAGGCGGCCCACUGGUCCGGUACUGACGCUGAGGUGCGAAAGCGUGGGGAGCAAACAGG